Molecule: long non-coding RNA, 256 nt
Organism: Hibiscus syriacus
Lineage: Eukaryota; Viridiplantae; Streptophyta; Magnoliopsida; Malvales; Malvaceae
Exons: 2
Source: RefSeq, a predicted model, not a curated record
CCUCGAGCAAACAGGCUCCUCAUUGAUGUCAUGAAGAGGUGCCAAGUAUGGAUGGCAUAGAGCUUCAUCGACUUCAACAAACAAUGAAAAGUUGUUAGCAAAGGAAGAAAAGAGACGUGAACUAUACGAAUCUUAACUGUGAAAUGAGACUAAGAGUUCAGCAACUAAUUAUACCUGUAAUACGCCUAUGCGGAUCAAAGAUAAGCAUCUUUUCUAGCAAAUCGACAGCCCCCGGUGACAUGUUAGGAAAUUUAGC